Long non-coding RNA from Oncorhynchus tshawytscha (Chinook salmon), 2946 nucleotides. The record is from Ensembl. Lineage: Eukaryota; Metazoa; Chordata; Actinopteri; Salmoniformes; Salmonidae.
GAAUGAGUCAGUGGACUGUCAGAAUGCCAGUUCCUGGUUGCUCAAAUUACUGAUAUCGCCUGCGUUCCAUGACUCUGCAGACAAAAAUGAAUGCUCCGGUUGGAACGUUAUUGGAUAUAUAUGAUAAUAACAUCCUGAAGAUUGAUUCUCUACUUAGUUUGACCAGUUUAUUUGACCUGGAAUAUAACUUUUGGAAGUUUUCGUCCGAUUUCGCCUGGACCAGCGCCAGCUUUUGGACAUAAACCUGCUAGCAAAAGCAGCUAAUUGGACACUAGUAAUGGACAUUAUGGAACAAAACAACAAUUUAUUGUGGAACUAGGACUCCUUGCACUGCAUUCUGAUGAAAGAUCAUCAAAGAAAUUACUGAGGACUUUUGACCAGGAAGUUUUAGUACUCCGACACCUCGCAGACGAAUGAGAGAUGGCAACGGGCGAGGAACACGGUGAUGCGAGGAAGCCAAAUUGUUUUGGAUGCGGAGUGAGAUCAAAACGAGAGCGAGACGGAGGGCAACCUUAACACAUCCUGACACUCAGACAGCAGAGGAGGGACCGGGAAUUUUUAGAGGGGGGAACAACCAGAAUUACACCACUCAAAUACUGAAGAGAUGUCAUCCUGCGAGUGGUUUGGCCUGCACAGAGUGUCUUUGGCCCGAAUAGGAGAUAUGGGAUAACUUCCUAUCUUGCCCUACUUAGUUGCCAAAUUGUGUCGGAUAGGUUAACGUCGAUUUGUCUACUAGUUUGAGUAUUUUUAAGAAUGUUACUUUUACAGACACUCUUGGUACCAUCGAGAAAGACUCUCAGUACUCUGCUGGGAGGCUCCUUGAAUGUUGAAGCUUUUAUCAAGGAAGAAAAAAAGAAUCAGAAAGCUACUGGAACAUUCAUCCUUGACUAAGAAAACAUUCCCACAAUGUUCAGAGUAUAUUCCUUCACAACUCUCAACUGAACAGUAACUGGAGAAAAACAUUCUGGGAACAUCCCCCGUUAGAUGGAGAACUGUUUCAUUGACCUGAUCGAUAAAGACAGAUAAAGGCUUUAGCUGGUUCCCAUAGGGCAGCGCAUAGACAUCACUGCUCUCUGUUUGGCGAUCAGAGGGCACCCUGAUUGAUGAUGAUUGAUAGUCUCCUAGUCGUCCCAUCAGUGUAAAGGCUGACAGCUGAUGGAGAAUGGAGAGGUGGAUCAAGGGCAUUGGUAGAAACAAGGACAACCCAACCACAGUUACAUUUUAUUGUAUAUUUGAUUUAACAUGUAUUUUACCAGGUUAGUCUCUUUGAGUGGGAUCUCUCCAACAAGAGAGACCUUUGCCACUGUAGCAUCACAAGUUAUGCUGAAUAAAAUAUAUAUAAAAUUAUUUAUUCAACUUGAACAAUAGUAUGAAUAUGAUUUGAAAAAUAGGCCUACAGUAUUUCGCUGACAUACUGGUUGAAAUCCCACUCCUGGUAAUUGUACGGAGUAUUAUUGAUUAUUUGACUUUGAUGGAAGCGGCUGUAGUCAGCAGUAGCUCCAUUGUGACUCAAAGGCUAAAGGCUGGCUGCAGGUACCACCCACACAGCAAUAUUGAAAACAGCAUCCCUGAACUGUAGGAUUCAAACCCACGAAAGCCAGAAAUAACCAUGUCACUGUUAUCCUAUACCGCAGGGCUUGAAGGAAGUGGAUGGAAACUGACUGUUUCAGCUGCUCUUGAAUGACUUGUUUUGCUCAUAGGCCAAGUGAUUGUGUCACCCACCCACCAAGCAAAUGGAAAUGCAAUGGUGGUUCUAGCCUGGAGACCCAACAUUGAACUGCAGUGGAUUCAACGUUGGGAAUAAAUGAGCGUUUGGAUGACGAAGGUUUCCUCUCACAACCUCUACAAGCCAGAAUGUUAAAUACAAUUAUAUUUUUAACUUACUUUACCGGUUGUCUGUGCAGUUGGUCCUUUGGCAGGUAGGAAUGUGGGACAAUAUAUCGACAGGAAAUUAUAAUUACAUCACCUUUUGAAAGUGCUGGAAGUGCAUUCAGAUUUCUAUCACCCGAAGCAUGUGCAGAACCAUGUAAACAUGUGCACGAGUUUAGCAAGUAUUCAUACAACUUGUGAAUGUAUUUUUAUCUUGUGCGCAUGACUCAGGUGAUAAAAAUCUAAAAUACACUACCAGCGCGUUGAAAAGUUCAUGUAAUUAUAUUUCCUGUCAAUGUAUUGUCCCACAUUCCUACCUGCAAACAGACCAACUGCACGGACAACCGGUAAAGUAAGAUCAAAUAUAAUUGUAUUCCAUAUGCUGGCUUGUAGAGGUCAUGAGGAAACUUUCCUGAUCCAAAUGCUCAUUUCUGCCUGACGUAGAAUUCAAUGAAAUUCCAGGUUGGGUUUCCGGCUAGGUGGGUUCAAGCCUGGCUCUUGGCUUUCCACUGGUCAUUAUUAUGCAACUGAGAGCCUAUGGCGAUUGAUUGUAAUCAGGAAUGUGAUGUUUUAAAUCUAUGGUUUUGAUCAAUAACAUCAAGUUAUGAACUCAAAACUUCAACAAACAAGACAUAAAUGGAUUUCACCUGUUGGAAAGACCAGCAGAGCACUCUUUGUUCCUGGCUUCCUCACCAGUGCAUUACUGAUCAUGCAUUCCAAUCAGUGUUCAGUUACAGUCAAUCAGUUUCAGGUGUAUCAGGCUUGAUUGCAGGCCUGAUUCCCCCAAUCCUCUGCAGCUGGAGAGUGGUGGCCAAUAGAGGUACUGCAGGGUAAUGCAUUCCAUUGACAAGGGCAACGGCAGCCAUCUUGUAGUGCUGCCCCCUUGUGAGACCAUUGAUGAAUUACAUUGCACAACCGUGAACAUAGAAAUAGGCUGUAGAGAACAGAUGUUUCACAUUCAUUCCAUAAUUUUCCAAUGCCAUGUGAGAGUAUCCCUGGCAGUGUCCAAAUAAUUUUUGAUGCUCCUAUUUUCUUGUCAUUUUCUUGUCAUUGAAUAACCUUGGGGAAGCAAGUCAC